RNAcentral lists this non-coding RNA (29 nucleotides) under Rattus norvegicus (Norway rat). The record is from RNAcentral. Lineage: Eukaryota; Metazoa; Chordata; Mammalia; Rodentia; Muridae.
UAAUACUGGAAGUGCUCCAGAGGGUGUGU